UUAUUGUUGACGACCAUGGAUGGUGAGGAUUUUCCAUCCCCUGUGAAUGCGGACGCAGUUAAAAAAUACUUCGUAUAAGAGACCCGUUGGACGGAAAGAAUAAAAUAGUCCAGGCAAAAAUGGGCAUCCCGGCGAACCAAAAAAAAAAGCAAAAAAAAAUGAAAAUGAAAAAGGUUCAGGCAAAAAUUAGGGAUAAAAAGGAAAAAAC
This 208-nucleotide long non-coding RNA is filed under the name Lathyrus oleraceus (garden pea). RNAcentral's name for it is "Pisum sativum (pea) long non-coding RNA (PSAT_LNC024129)". The record is from RNAcentral. Lineage: Eukaryota; Viridiplantae; Streptophyta; Magnoliopsida; Fabales; Fabaceae.